Molecule: ribosomal RNA, 433 nt
Filed under: uncultured bacterium
Lineage: Bacteria
Description: partial 16S ribosomal RNA
Rfam family: Bacterial small subunit ribosomal RNA
Source: RNAcentral
AACGAACGCUGGCGGCAUGCCUAACACAUGCAAGUCGAACGAGACCUUCGGGUCUAGUGGCGCACGGGUGCGUAACGCGUGGGAAUCUGCCCUUGGGUUCGGAAUAACAGUUGGAAACGACUGCUAAUACCGGAUGAUGACGUAAGUCCAAAGAUUUAUCGCCCAAGGAUGAGCCCGCGUAGGAUUAGCUAGUUGGUGAGGUAAAGGCUCACCAAGGCGACGAUCCUUAGCUGGUCUGAGAGGAUGGUCAGCCACACUGGGACUGAGACACGGCCCAGACUCCUACGGGAGGCAGCAGUGGGGAAUAUUGGACAGUGGGCGAAAGCCUGAUCCAGCAAUGCCGCGUGAGUGAUGAAGGCCUUAGGGUUGUAAAGCUCUUUUACCCGGGAUGAUAAUGACAGUACCGGGAGAAUAAGCUCCGGCUAACUCCGUG